RNAcentral lists this unclassified non-coding RNA (337 nucleotides) under soil metagenome. Its description in RNAcentral is "partial contains 5.8S ribosomal RNA, internal transcribed spacer 2, and large subunit ribosomal RNA". The stretch from base 1 to 120 matches the Rfam family "5.8S ribosomal RNA", at positions 35 to 154 of the family's 154-position model. The record is from RNAcentral.
GAUGAAGAACGUAGCGAAAUGCGAUAAGUAAUGUGAAUUGCAGAAUUCAGUGAAUCAUCGAAUCUUUGAACGCACAUUGCGCCCUCUGGUAUUCCGGAGGGCAUGCCUGUUCGAGCGUCAUUUCGACCCUCAAGCAUUGCUUGGUGUUGGGGCACCGCCUGUAAAAGGGCGGGCCCUGAAAUCUAGUGGCGAGCUCGCCAGGACCCCGAGCGUAGUAAUUAUAUUUCGUUCUGGAAGGCCCUGGCGGUGCCCUGCCGUUAAACCCCCAACUUCUGAAAAUUUGACCUCGGAUCAGGUAGGAAUACCCGCUGAACUUAAGCAUAUCAAUAAGCGGAGG